AUUGAACGCUGGCGGCAGGCCUAACACAUGCAAGUCGAGCGGAUGAAGGGAGCUUGCUCCUGGAUUCAGCGGCGGACGGGUGAGUAAUGCCUAGGAAUCUGCCUGGUAGUGGGGGAUAACGUCCGGAAACGGGCGCUAAUACCGCAUACGUCCUGAGGGAGAAAGGGGGGGAUCUUCGGACCUCACGCUAUCAGAUGAGCCUAGGUCGGAUUAGCUAGUUGGUGGGGUAAAGGCCUACAAAGGCGACGAUCCGUAACUGGUCUGAGAGGAUGAUCAGUCACAUUGGAACUGAGACACGGUCCAGACUCCUACGGGAGGCAGCAGUGGGGAAUAUUGGACAAUGGGCGAAAGCCUGAUCCAGCCAUGCCGCGUGUGUGAAGAAGGUCUUCGGAUUGUAAAGCACUUUAAGUUGGGAGGAAGGGCAGUAAGUUAAUACCUUGCUGUUUUGACGUUACCAACAGAAUAAGCACCGGCUAACUUCGUG
This 484-nucleotide ribosomal RNA is filed under the name uncultured bacterium. RNAcentral describes it as "partial 16S ribosomal RNA". It matches the Rfam family "Bacterial small subunit ribosomal RNA", at positions 30 to 507 of the family's 1533-position model. The record is from RNAcentral.